This 473-nucleotide long non-coding RNA is filed under the name Homo sapiens (human). Its description in RNAcentral is "HSALNT0352987". The record is from RNAcentral. Lineage: Eukaryota; Metazoa; Chordata; Mammalia; Primates; Hominidae.
CACUGAAGGGAAGCUUACCAGAGUGCCAUCGAGUUCCUUCCCCUAAGGAUCAGACUUCCAGACUCAAGUGUCAUUUGACCUGGUAUCCAGCUUAAUACAGCCUCUGCUUUUGAAUAGAUUUCCUUACAAGUGGCAAUCUCUAAUAGGGUCAUGUCGAGAGGCAACCCGACUGCAUACUACCUACUGCACGUUAACGUGAUGAAGGUCUCUCCUGAGCACACGGCUUCAUAAACCAGCUGCACAAGCAACUGCAUCUGGGGAUCUGCUUCAAGAGAAACUUAACUAAAGCAAGAAUGGGCUCUAACUUCAGGAUACCUAGGAUUCUAACCUCGUUCCAUUACUUACCAACGAUAUGACCUGGGAAAAAUUAUAUACCUGCUGCACAUCACUGGGGCAAUUUACUGUAGGCAUGCGGCUUUAACAACAACAAAAUGUAAAAAGAGAAGUCACCUAUGGAUGGAUUAAAAAUUACG